Conger conger (European conger) is the source of this 926-nucleotide long non-coding RNA. RefSeq lists it as uncharacterized. The transcript is spliced from 5 exons. NCBI's taxonomy places the organism in Eukaryota, Metazoa, Chordata, Actinopteri, Anguilliformes, Congridae. The record is from RefSeq and is a predicted model, not a curated record.
ACAAGUGCUCAGACUGGUAUAACAAGGAGUGCCUACUGGUUGGGAAUCUGCAGUGAAGUUUGUGUCUUGGUACUUUUUAUGUCACAAUAUUCUCUCUCUCUCUCAGAGAUCAACACAUUUACCCUGCAACAUGCCCAAGUGUCCCCGAUGCAACAAGACGGUGUACUAUGUGGAGAAGGUGAGCUCACAGGGGAAAGACUGGCAUGUGUGCUGUCUGAAGUGUGGAAAGUGCAACAAGGAUCUGGCAGGCAGCGUGCAUUCAGAUAGUGAUGGAACACCCUAUUGCAUUCCCUGCUACACAGACAUAUUUGGACCCAAGUAACGCGAAGGGUUUGGACAUGGGGGCACCAAAAAGCCACACAUUGGGACCCUGAGAAAGAUGAUGCCUCCUUCGGUUACUCAAAGGAAAAUGGAUGCCAAGAGAUGGACGGAAGACAACAGUCGAUUCGCCAUGUUACCUACAGAAUAUGUUUUUAAUGCAAAUAAAAUGUUUUACUAAAUGCAUAAAAGCAUGCAGAUGUGGUCAAGAGGUUCAACAGUUGUUCAGACCAAAUGUCAGAAUGGGGAAGAAAAGUGACUUUGACCAUGGAACGAUUGUUGGUGUCUCAGAAACUGCUGAUCUCCAGUGAUUUUCACUCACACGAUUUCUGUGAGUUUCUGGAGUCAGUAGAAAAUUGUAUGAAAAACAAAAAACAUCCAGUGAGCAGCAGUUCUGUGGGCAGAAACGCAUUGUUAAUGAGAGAGGUCAGAGGAGAAGGGCCAGACUGGUCGAAGCUGACAGGAAGGCGACGGUAACGCAAAUAAUCACACAUUACAACAAUGCAUCAAAACUCUAAGUGGAUAGGCAACAGUAGCAGAAGACCAAUUGGUCUAAAAAUAGUCAAAUAAAUACCUAAUAAAGUGCUCACUGGGUGUAUUAUGUACAA